This 254-nucleotide ribosomal RNA is filed under the name uncultured bacterium. Its description in RNAcentral is "partial small subunit ribosomal RNA". It matches the Rfam family "Bacterial small subunit ribosomal RNA", at positions 26 to 285 of the family's 1533-position model. The record is from RNAcentral.
AGGACGAACGCUGGCGGCGUGCUUAACACAUGCAAGUCGAGCGGAAAGGCCCUUCGGGGUACUCGAGCGGCGAACGGGUGAGUAACACGUGAGCAACCUGCCCUUAGCUCCGGGAUAGCUCCGGGAAACCGGAAUUAAUACCGGAUACGACCACGGCCGACAUCUGCUGUGGUGGAAAGGAUUCCGGCUAAGGAUGGGCUCGCGGCCUAUCAGCUAGUUGGCGGAGUAACGGCCCACCAAGGCGGCGACGGGUA